RNAcentral lists this ribosomal RNA (427 nucleotides) under uncultured bacterium. RNAcentral's name for it is "partial 16S ribosomal RNA". It matches the Rfam family "Bacterial small subunit ribosomal RNA", at positions 355 to 774 of the family's 1533-position model. The record is from RNAcentral.
UGGGGAAUAUUGGACAAUGGGCGAAAGCCUGAUCCAGCCAUGCCGCGUGUGUGAAGAAGGUCUUCGGAUUGUAAAGCACUUUAAGUUGGGAGGAAGGGCAUUAACCUAAUACGUUAGUGUUUUGACGUUACCGACAGAAUAAGCACCGGAUAACUCUGUGCAAGCAGCCGCGGCAAUACAGAGGGUGCAAGCGUUAAUCGGAAUUACUGGGCGUAAAGCGCGCGUAGGUGGUUUGUUAAGUUGGAUGUGAAAUCCCCGGGCUCAACCUGGGAACUGCAUUCAAAACUGACUGACUAGAGUAUGGUAGAGGGUGGUGGAAUUUCCUGUGUAGCGGUGAAAUGCGUAGAUAUAGGAAGGAACACCAGUGGCGAAGGCGACCACCUGGACUAAUACUGACACUGAGGUGCGAAAGCGUGGGGAGCAAACA